AGUGAACGCUGGCGGUAGGCCUAACACAUGCAAGUCGAACGGAAGCACAGUAAGAGCUUGCUCUUACGGGUGGCGAGUGGCGGACGGGUGAGGAAUACAUCGGAAUCUACUUUUUCGUGGGGGAUAACGUAGGGAAACUUACGCUAAUACCGCAUACGUCCUACGGGUGAAAGCAGGGGAUCUUCGGACUUUGCGCGAUUGAAUGAGCCGAUGUCGGAUUAGCUAGUUGGCGGGGUAAAGGCCCACCAAGGCGACGAUCCGUAGCUGGUCUGAGAGGAUGAUCAGCCACACUGGAACUGAGACACGGUCCAGACUCCUACGGGAGGCAGCAGUGGGGAAUAUUGGACAAUGGGCGCAAGCCUGAUCCAGCCAUACCGCGUGAGUGAAGAAGGCCUUCGGGUUGUAAAGCCCUUUUGUUGGGAAAGAAAAGCAGCAGGUUAAUACCCCGCUGUUCUGACGGUACCCAAAGAAUAAGCACCGGCUAACUUCGUG
RNAcentral lists this ribosomal RNA (492 nucleotides) under uncultured bacterium. RNAcentral describes it as "partial 16S ribosomal RNA". It matches the Rfam family "Bacterial small subunit ribosomal RNA", at positions 29 to 507 of the family's 1533-position model. The record is from RNAcentral.